This 457-nucleotide small RNA is filed under the name Histoplasma ohiense. Its description in RNAcentral is "hypothetical lncRNA". Lineage: Eukaryota; Fungi; Ascomycota; Eurotiomycetes; Onygenales; Ajellomycetaceae. The record is from RNAcentral.
GUGUCUGAAGCUAUCUCUCCAGCGUGAACCUUACGUUAAUAAACAGCACGAUACGACAACCUAGCCCAUGGUAGAAGAUACUCUUGCAAUCCGUUGCAACAAGCAUUUGAGGAAGACGACGGAUAGCAAAAAGACCAAGUGGGUUGGCAGGUCCAGGAUUUGGGGACGCUGAGGGGCCUAAAGGGCCUGUGUCAUCGUCAGUUAUACGACACUACGUCCCAGAACAAUAAUUGGAAGAGGGUGAUGUUCACAGGUUUUUAAUGGGUUCAGGUCAGAAAUAGGUGAUUGAAGAACUCAUUCACAGCGAUAGGAGGGUGGUAGAACUUCAUCAAGAAGGUUUUGUCGGAGGAGCCAAUAGAAAUCUUGGAGACGUCAAUAAGGUUACUUCUUCAUGGCCGAGGCGAUAAUCAACACCGACCUCUAAAGUUGAAGGUUUUCGAGGGCGAGCUGGUGGAGG